GUCGAGAAUUUUUCUCAAUGGGGGAAACCCUGAAGGAGCGACGCCGCGUGGAGGAUGAAGGUCUUCGGGUUGUAAACUCCUGUCAUUUGAGAACAAGGUGCACAUGUUAACUGCAUGUGCAUUGAUAGUAUCAGAAGAGGAAGGGACGGCUAACUCUGUGCCAGCAGCCGCGGUAAUACAGAGGUCCCAAGCGUUGUUCGGAUUCAUUGGGCGUAAAGGGUGUGUAGGUGGCGCCGUAAGUCGGGUGUGAAAUCUCGGGGCUUAACUCCGAAACUGCAUUCGAUACUGCGGUGCUUGAGGACUGGAGAGGAGACUGGAAUUCAUGGUGUAGCAGUGAAAUGCGUAGAGAUCAUGAGGAAGACCAGUGGCGAAGGCGGGUCUCUGGACAGUUCCUGACACUGAGACACGAAGGCCAGGGGAGCAAACGGGAUUAGAUACCCCUGUAGUCC
This 449-nucleotide ribosomal RNA is filed under the name uncultured bacterium. RNAcentral's name for it is "bacterial SSU rRNA". It matches the Rfam family "Bacterial small subunit ribosomal RNA", at positions 354 to 796 of the family's 1533-position model. The record is from RNAcentral.